GGCAGCUCACGGUGCGCCCGUCGUGGGCCACGGCUCAGCGGUUACGCCACAAACGGCGGUCAACCGACCGGCUCAUUCAUUGCGCACUCCAGCCAACGGAUCCAUCCCUUCGCCGGAAGUCUCGUUCCCCUCCCAAUCCCUACACUUAUCUUUCUUCAAUCUCGCCGGUAAGAACCAGAUCCGGAGACGAUAACUACCUCCUCUUCGUCGUCGCAGCCCGACGAUAAACUGCCACUGAUUCCUUGCCCCACCUGCGGCGACAAGGUGGUCACCUUCACUACCGAGCCGAGACAAUGUCCAUGGAAGGAGACAUGGAGGGAAGGAUGACAUGGAGCGAAGUUGCUAAAACAUUCAAGCUCUACACCGGCUGAAGCGCAACACCUCUAGCGCCAGCGGCGCCACCACCACCACCACCUGCUGCUGUGAGGCAGGGCAGUAUGAAGGCCAAGAAUUGAAAAAUUGCAGAGAAAACCUCAACUACAAAUGCCCAGACGGCGAGGUGGCCUCUUGUAGGUCCGGCGCCGCCUCCUCCGGCCCCGGCCCCCUGCUCUAGAUCUUGCUGAUGUUUGCGACAACAUCAGUUGCGGCAUAGCACUCCCAAGACAAAGCCAACGCCCCCGCCAAUGCAAUGGCGGAGCUAGACGUAAUCUAUCAGGGGUGGGCCAUACCUGCUCUGAAGAUGGUUAGGUGGAUAAAGACUACGGACGCCGGAUGGAAAUAUCUCGACAUACUCUGCCUGCUCUCUUGUUGCAUUCCGUAGCCAGCAAAAUGAGCUUGUAGUAUUCAAGAUUUUUCUUUCAAGUGCUAGUAAUAUUUUGGUAAAUUAGUGCUGCUCGUAUUUUGACCAAGCCAGCGUGACAUGAUUAUAAAUUUAUAAUCUUGACGACCA
Aegilops tauschii subsp. strangulata is the source of this 889-nucleotide non-coding RNA. NCBI's taxonomy places the organism in Eukaryota, Viridiplantae, Streptophyta, Magnoliopsida, Poales, Poaceae. The record is from RefSeq and is a predicted model, not a curated record.